CUACGGGAGGCAGCAGUGGGGAAUAUUGGACAAUGGGCGAAAGCCCGAUCCAGCAAUACCGCGUGUGUGAAGAAGGCCUGAGGGUUGUAAAGCACUUUCAAUAGGAAGGAAUACCUAUCGGUUAAUACCCGGUAGACUGACAUUACCUAUACAAGAAGCACCGGCUAACUCCGUGCCAGCAGCCGCGGUAAUACGGAGGGUGCAAGCGUUAAUCGGAAUUACUGGGCGUAAAGCGUGCGUAGGCGGUUAUUUAAGUCAGAUGUGAAAGCCCUGGGCUUAACCUGGGAACUGCAUUUGAUACUGGAUGACUAGAGUUGAGUAGAGGAGAGUGGAAUUUCAGGUGUAGCGGUGAAAUGCGUAGAGAUCUGAAGGAACACCAGUGGCGAAGGCGGCUCUCUGGACUCAAACUGACGCUGAGGUACGAAAGCGUGGGUAGCAAACAGGAUUAGAUACCCUAGUAGUC
RNAcentral lists this ribosomal RNA (463 nucleotides) under uncultured bacterium. RNAcentral's name for it is "partial 16S ribosomal RNA". It matches the Rfam family "Bacterial small subunit ribosomal RNA", at positions 339 to 795 of the family's 1533-position model. The record is from RNAcentral.